RNAcentral lists this ribosomal RNA (451 nucleotides) under uncultured bacterium. RNAcentral's name for it is "partial 16S ribosomal RNA". It matches the Rfam family "Bacterial small subunit ribosomal RNA", at positions 29 to 523 of the family's 1533-position model. The record is from RNAcentral.
AACGAACGCUGGCGGCAGGCCUAACACAUGCAAGUCGAACGCUCGUAGCAAUACGGGAGUGGCGCACGGGUGAGUAACGCGUGGGAACGUGCCCUUUAGUUUGGGAUAACAGCUGGAAACGGCUGCUAAUACCAAAUACGCCCUUCGGGGGAAAGAUUUAUCGCUAAAGGAUCGGCCCGCGUAAGAUUAGGUAGUUGGUGGGGUAAUGGCCUACCAAGCCUACGAUCUUUAGCUGGUCUGAGAGGAUGAUCAGCCACACUGGAAUUGAGACACGGUCCAGACUCCUACGGGAGGCAGCAGUGGGGAAUAUUGGACAAUGGGGGAAACCCUGAUCAAGCCAUGCCGCGUGAGCGAUGAAGGCCUUAGGGUUGUAAAGUUCUUUUGUCAGGGAAGAUGAUGACGGUACCUGACGAAUAAGCACCGGCUAACUUCGUGCCAGCCGCCGCCGUAA